This 465-nucleotide ribosomal RNA is filed under the name Vreelandella stevensii. RNAcentral's name for it is "partial 16S ribosomal RNA". It matches the Rfam family "Bacterial small subunit ribosomal RNA", at positions 338 to 795 of the family's 1533-position model. Lineage: Bacteria; Pseudomonadati; Pseudomonadota; Gammaproteobacteria; Oceanospirillales; Halomonadaceae. The record is from RNAcentral.
CCUACGGGUGGCAGCAGUGGGGAAUAUUGGACAAUGGGGGGAACCCUGAUCCAGCCAUGCCGCGUGUGUGAAGAAGGCCCUCGGGUUGUAAAGCACUUUCAGUGAGGAAGAACGCCUGGUGGUUAAUACCCAUCAGGAAAGACAUCACUCACAGAAGAAGCACCGGCUAACUCCGUGCCAGCAGCCGCGGUAAUACGGAGGGUGCGAGCGUUAAUCGGAAUUACUGGGCGUAAAGCGCGCGUAGGUGGCUUGAUAAGCCGGUUGUGAAAGCCCCGGGCUCAACCUGGGGACGGCAUCCGGAACUGUCAAGCUAGAGUGCAGGAGAGGAAGGUAGAAUUCCCGGUGUAGCGGUGAAAUGCGUAGAGAUCGGGAGGAAUACCAGUGGCGAAGGCGGCCUUCUGGACUGACACUGACACUGAGGUGCGAAAGCGUGGGUAGCAAACAGGAUUAGAUACUCGGGUAGUC